RNAcentral lists this ribosomal RNA (481 nucleotides) under uncultured bacterium. RNAcentral's name for it is "partial 16S ribosomal RNA". It matches the Rfam family "Bacterial small subunit ribosomal RNA", at positions 28 to 523 of the family's 1533-position model. The record is from RNAcentral.
GACGAACGCUGGCGGCGUGCUUAACCCAUGCAAGUCGAACGCUGAAGCCCUUCGGGGUGGAUGAGUGGCGAACGGGUGAGUAACACGUGGGUAAUCUGCCCUGCACUCUGGGAUAAGCCUUGGAAACGGGGUCUAAUACCGGAUAGGACACAUCGACGCAUGGAGUGUGUGGGGAAAGUUCCGGCGGUGCAGGUUGAGCCUGGUGCCUAUCAGCGUGUUGAGGGGGUGGUGGCCUAACAAGGCGACGACGGGUAGCCGGCCUGAGAGGGUGACCGGCCACACUGGGACUGAGACACGGCCCAGACUCCUACGGGAGGCAGCAGUGGGGAAUCUUGCGCAAUGGGCGAAAGCGUGACGCAGCAACGCCGCGUGGGGGAUGACGGCCUUCGGGUUGUAAACCUCUUUCGACCGGGACGAAGGAUUCGUUUGACGGUACCGGUAGAAGAAGCACCGGCUAACUACGUGCCAGCAGCCGCCGUAA